GAAGCUGCGAAGAUGGCGGAGUAAGGCGUGCCGCUGCAAACUGGCCUCUGGGCCGGGGGCGAGCAGCCCCCGGGAGGCCGAGUGCAUCUGUUGGACCGUGCGAGGAGAAGAAAAAAAAUAUCGGCCAGAGGAGAGGAACUAACCGAACAUUCUUCCUCCCUACCUUAUAGAGGGGAGUGGUCAUCUACACUAAAGCAAAGUGUUAGGCGCGUCCGUGCGAAGAGACCACCAAACAGGCUUUGUGUUCCUUAUCACAGGAAGAAAAUUUUCCUUGACCUUUAGGUGCUUUUAUAUUCAUCUCAAAAACAAAAUUCUGAACUCAGGACUUGGCAAACCACCGCUGAAACUUCACUUCUACACAGAGGCUUUCUUUCCCAGAAACCCAGACCAGAUGGAGUUUCACUCUGUCGCCCAGGCUGGAGUGCAGUGGCACGAUCUCGGCUGACUGCAGCCUCUACCUGCUGGGUUCAAGCAAUUCUUCUGCCUCAGGUUCCUGAGUAGCUGGGAUUACAGACCAACCAUGCAACUUUAGAUCAGAGGACACAUGGGACUCUGCAUCUUAAUUCCUAAAUUUACAGUCAAAGACAUUUUCAGAGAUAAGUAUUAUGAAUUCAAUAAGAAUCUAAAGUAAGUUCUUAAGGCAAAUAGCUAUAAAAGAGAAGAAUCCUUAGUCUCUCAUCUUCUAAAAACAGCUUCACAAAUAAUUUGGAAAAUCAGCCUAAAGGUAAAUAGAAACUGCAUUUCCCCUCCAUUCUUGAAGCCAAUCUUUUUCAAGAAAUGACUAAGCAGCACCUGUUGUUGAAGACAGCAAUAAAGCCUGAACCUGACACUCAA
RNAcentral lists this long non-coding RNA (834 nucleotides) under Homo sapiens (human). Its description in RNAcentral is "OIP5 antisense RNA 1". Lineage: Eukaryota; Metazoa; Chordata; Mammalia; Primates; Hominidae. The record is from RNAcentral.